This 254-nucleotide unclassified non-coding RNA is filed under the name Hevea brasiliensis (rubber tree). The record is from RNAcentral. Lineage: Eukaryota; Viridiplantae; Streptophyta; Magnoliopsida; Malpighiales; Euphorbiaceae.
GGAAGAGCGUCUGGAGAGUGUCAAAAGUUUGAACAUGAACGUGAAAAAAGAUGAUGAUGAAUUAUUGAAGGGUGAUGCAAUUGGAGGUAUCUCAGUUUCUUUAAAUGACAACCAUCUCACUGCCGAAGUAAAUGAUCCAGAGUCACCUGAAAGUGCAACCAAUCAGCCAGUGGCAGAUAAAUCUUUGGGUUCAAAGCUUGACAGAUCAGUUGACUUGCAAGUGGACGCUAGUGCUGUUAAAUCCGAGAUCCCAG